AGGGUUAAAAGGGGGCGUGGCUUGAGAAAGGGGGCGUGGUCUGAUGUAGGGGGUGUGGCCUAUGAGGUGGGCGGGGCCUGUGGGGGGCGUGGCUUGGAGGGGGAGGCUGUGAUUGGCUGAUACACGGUGGGGGUGGGGUUUUAGCUGGUCCUUAAAGGGUUAAAAGGGGGCGUGGCUUCGCGUAGGGGGCGUGGCCUGGUGGGUGUGGCCUAAAGCAGGGGGCGUGGCCUGAGGUGGGCGUGGCUUGUGCAAAGGGGGCGUGGCCUUGGGUAUAGGGAAAGCCCCCAAUAGGUCCAGGGGGGCGUGGCCUCACAGAGGGGGCGUGGCUUCGCGGAAAGGGGCGUGGCUUGGAGAAGAGGGGGGCGUGGCCUCUCCCAGGGUGGUUUUUUUGGGGUAAAUUUUGGCCGUUUAGGUGCUGGAGAAGUCGCGCCCCAUGGAGCUGCGCCUGCGCUACCACCUGGACAAGCUGCUGCGGGCGGCCGCCGCCGGGGCACCGGGUGGGCCAAAAUCCCCCCAAUUCACCCCAAAAUCCCCCUCCCCUUGAACCCCCAAAAUCCCUUAGAUUUGCCCCAAAAAGUUGUUUUGGCGGUUGGUUGAUUGACAGCUGUCAAUCAUCCCCCAGGAGCCAACGACCCGCUGCGCUUCCGGCCCCAGCCCGGGAACAUGGGGGAUGAAGAGGAGGAGGAGGAGGAGGAUGAGGAGGGGCCAAGUGGGACGAAGGCCCCGGGGCUGGGCGGGGGGCGGCGCUAUGUGCCCCCCCGCCUGGUGCCCGUGCAGUACGGUAAGCUGAAUCCCAAAUAAUCCCAAAUAAUCCCAAGUAAUCCUCCUUAAUCCCGCAUAAUCCAUCCAAAAUCUACCAUUAUAUCCCCAAAUUCCCCUUAACUUCCCCAUUAUUCUUCCUUAAUCCCCAUAUUUUCCCCCUAAAUGCCCCAUAAUCCCCCCAAACUCCCCAUAAUCCCUCCGUUUUCCCUCAAAAUCCCACUUUAAUCCUUCAUAAUCCCUCUGAAAUCCCUCAGUUUCCCCCCAAAAUACCCCUAAUCCUCCCAUAAUCCCCCUAAUUCCCCCGUUUUUAUUCCCAAUCCCCCGAUACUGCCACCCCAAUCCCCACAAUCCCUCUUUAAUCCCCCUAAUCCGGCAAUAAUCCCCCAAAUCCCACCAUUAUUCCCCAUAAUCCCUCUAUAAUUCCUACAUUUUCCCCCAAAACCCCUCUUAAUUCCUCCAUAAUUCCACCUAAUGCCCCUUAAUCCCACCCCAACCCCCAUAAUCCCAUCUAAUCCCCCUUAAUCCCACCCUUAUUGCCCCUAAUCCCCCUUAAUGCCACCCUUUUUCCCCAUAAUUCCUCCAUCUCUUCAUUUUCCCCCAUAACCCUCCCCUAAUCCCUCCAUAACCCCUCCUCAUGCCCCAUAAUCCCACCCCAACCCCUCAUAAUCCCAAUCCCCCCAUAAUCCCCUCUAAUCCCCCUUAAUCCCACCCUAAUUCCCCUUAAUCCCACUUUUAUUCCC
Molecule: long non-coding RNA, 1502 nt
Filed under: Anas platyrhynchos platyrhynchos (common mallard)
Lineage: Eukaryota; Metazoa; Chordata; Aves; Anseriformes; Anatidae
Description: lncRNA (ENSAPLG00000018083.1)
Source: RNAcentral